Molecule: ribosomal RNA, 301 nt
Filed under: uncultured bacterium
Lineage: Bacteria
Description: partial 16S ribosomal RNA
Rfam family: Bacterial small subunit ribosomal RNA
Source: RNAcentral
CAGUAGCCGCGGUAAUACAGAGGGUGCGAGCGUUAAUCGGAUUUACUGGGUUUAAAGGGUGCGUAGGCGGAUCUGUAAGUCAGUGGUGAAAUCUCCAGGCUUAACCUGGAAACUGCCGUUGAUACUAUAGGUCUUGAAUUUUGUGGAGGUUAGCGGAAUAUGUCAUGUAGCGGUGAAAUGCAUAGAUAUGACAUAGAACACCAAUUGCGAAGGCAGCUGGCUACACAACUAUUGACGCUGAGGCACGAAAGCGUGGGGAUCAAACAGGAUUAGAUACCCCAGUAGUCCCUGUCUCUUAUAC